UGGAGCAUUGUGGUUAAUUCGACGCAACGCGCAGACCUUACCUGGGCUUGACAUCCCGAUCGCACCUUUUGGAAACUUAAGGGUCAGUUCGGCUGGAUCGGUGACAGGUGCUGCAUGGCUGUCGUCAGCUCGUGUCGUGAGAUGUUGGGUUAAGUCCCGCAACGAGCGCAACCCUCGUCCUUAGUUGCCAGCAUUAAGUUGGGCACUCUAAGGAGACUGCCGGUGUUAAACCGGAGGAAGCGGGGAUGACGUCAAGUCCUCAUGGCCCUUAUGUCCAGGGCUACACACGUGCUACAAUGGCCGGUACAAAGGGUAGCAAGACCGCGAGGUGGAGCCAACCCCAAAAAGCCGGUCUCAGUUCGGAUUGGAGUCUGCAACUCGACUCCAUGAAGUUGGAAUCGCUAGUAAUCGUGGAUCCGCAUGCCGCGGUGAAUACGUUCCCGGGCCUU
This 449-nucleotide ribosomal RNA is filed under the name uncultured Desulfuromonas sp. RNAcentral's name for it is "bacterial SSU rRNA". It matches the Rfam family "Bacterial small subunit ribosomal RNA", at positions 933 to 1382 of the family's 1533-position model. The record is from RNAcentral. Lineage: Bacteria; Pseudomonadati; Thermodesulfobacteriota; Desulfuromonadia; Desulfuromonadales; Desulfuromonadaceae.